This 399-nucleotide ribosomal RNA is filed under the name uncultured bacterium. RNAcentral's name for it is "bacterial SSU rRNA". It matches the Rfam family "Bacterial small subunit ribosomal RNA", at positions 64 to 451 of the family's 1533-position model. The record is from RNAcentral.
GAGCGAGAAAGGGACUUCGGUCCUGAGUAAAGCGGCGGACGGGUGAGUAACACGUAGGUAAUCUUCCAUUAAGUGGGGGACAACGUUCCGAAAGGGACGCUAAUACCGCAUAAGUUCCCAGAGACUCCGGUCUUUGGGAGGAAAGCUAGGUAGCAAUAUCUGGCGCUUGAUGAGGAGCCUGCGUCGCAUCAGCUAGUUGGUGGGGUAACGGCCUACCAAGGCGAAGACGCGUAGCUGGUCUGAGAGGAUGAUCAGCCACACUGGGACUGAGACACGGCCCAGACUCCUACGGGAGGCAGCAGUGGGGAAUAUUGGACAAUGGGCGCAAGCCUGAUCCAGCCACGCCGCGUGAGUGAUGAAGGCCUUCGGGUCGUAAAGCUCUGUGGGGAGGGACGAACC